Molecule: long non-coding RNA, 668 nt
Organism: Bos taurus (domestic cattle)
Lineage: Eukaryota; Metazoa; Chordata; Mammalia; Artiodactyla; Bovidae
Source: Ensembl
GAAGACGUGGUGGUUAAGACAACAGGUCCAGAUUUCCGGUCCUCCAGGAGUCUUUCCAGAGAAACAGCACACACUGGAAGUGACACCUGGGGGUCUCCCCGGUCACGGCAGGUCCCGAACCAGCCCACGUCAGUCGUGCGAGUGCGCAACCUGGGGCAGGGCCCCUGCCGCCCGCUCUGCACCUGGGCGUCCCUGGCUGGGCGCAUCACCCCUCACAGACCUGUCUUCAGAUUUAAUCGAGAUCGAAGAAACAGACUCUGGGAGAAACCAGGAAGGGAUGAAGCAAUCAGAAAGAAAGAAGAAGCCAGGCCAGCAGCAAUUUUGGCGAUAACCAGCCUCAGCCUGACCCCGCCGGGGCUCCAGAGGGACACACAGAGACCUGUGGCAUGGCUCUCAGAUUCUGAGGAGCCAGGAGUGGAGUUGUUAUCUCAAGACUUCUCAGAGUCUGUCGAGUCUCCUGCAGCCCAUCAUUGCCGGCCGGCCUGCCUGCCUGCGUCACAGCCGCAGGGCUCUGUCUUUGGAGCAGAAUUCCCCAGGAGAUGUCUGCAGCAAGGCCAUGGGCUGCCCUGGCCAGGGAGAGGGUGGGGGAACAGGAAGCCUCAGCUGUGUGUCUGGUCUGGUACUAAUUAGCUGUGUGACCUUGGGCUAGUCACUUAACCUCUCUGGUC